RNAcentral lists this ribosomal RNA (489 nucleotides) under uncultured bacterium. RNAcentral's name for it is "partial 16S ribosomal RNA". It matches the Rfam family "Bacterial small subunit ribosomal RNA", at positions 28 to 507 of the family's 1533-position model. The record is from RNAcentral.
GACGAACGCUGGCGGCGUGCUUAACACAUGCAAGUCGAACGGUGAAGGGACCAGCUUGCUGGUUCUGGAUGAGUGGCGAACGGGUGAGUAACACGUGAGUAACCUGCCCCCUUCUUCUGGAUAACCGCAUGAAAGUGUGGCUAAUACGGGAUAUUCUGGGUCUGUCGCAUGGCGGGCCCGGGAAAGAUAUUGCUUCGGUGGGGGAUGGGCUCGCGGCCUAUCAGCUUGUUGGUGGGGUGAUGGCCUACCAAGGCGGUGACGGGUAGCCGGCCUGAGAGGGUGGACGGUCACACUGGGACUGAGACACGGCCCAGACUCCUACGGGAGGCAGCAGUGGGGAAUAUUGCACAAUGGGCGCAAGCCUGAUGCAGCGACGCCGCGUGAGGGAUGGAGGCCUUCGGGUUGUAAACCUCUUUCGCCAGUGAAGCAGGCCUGCUCCUUGUGGGUGGGUUGACGGUAGCUGGAUAAGAAGCGCCGGCUAAUUACGUG